CAGGGAUCACAAGAGAGCAUGCUUCCACUCUGACUCCCCGUGUCUGGACAGAAGACAGCAUCCGUGUACAACAAGGAAAAAGGCUCUUGCUAAAGCCAUCAUGCCCCCUGGUCUCAUACUCCUAACCCCCCAAGCAGGUAAGACUCACUCUCUGAUCUUCAUGAGCCAUCGUUGUGGGUCCCUGUCACAGGUGAAUGACUAGGAGAGAAGCCCUCCGUCCCCACACAUCACUAACUGAAGGCGCCUUUUCUACUUGGGUUUUGCUGGACACAGCAGAUUCUUCUGUUUCUUCCUCUCCACCAAUGAUGCUAUUGGAGCUCCAUGCCUUAAGGCACCCGCGGCACUCACAGCGCAAGGAGGUGAGUUUACAGGAGAUGCCAGCUCUGAAGCAUAAAACAGGAGCUCCGUCCGCUCAACAGGCCAGGAGCCCACCGGAGCCAGAGCCAGAGCCCACAGUCCCCCUGCCCAGUGGUCCAGGUCCCCUCCACGCAGUGCAUUGUUUUCUGGUGGGCACCAUGGUUGAAACCAUAUUCUCAAAGAAACUCUGUUUUGUCACAAGGCCCCCAUCCACAGGCUCAGCCACAUGACAGGCCCAGAAGCAGCCAGCACAACUGCCGGCGAUGCCUGCCAACAAGCCAGAUGCUGCCGCACAUUGGCAUCUGGGUCCUGGAAUAGCAAGCAAGCUCUCAGUCUGGCUAGGGAUUCUGACCCCAGCUUCGGAAGGAGACAAAAACAGGGAAGAAAGAGUGGGACGAGGGGAGGGAGGUCGACUGGGGAAAGCUCUCUUGGUAAUUUCCCUACGGUGGAUUUAGAGCUAACAAAAGUCUCCUUGGAAAGCUGCUCCAGGAGCCGCAAUGGUGGAAGAAGUGAGAAUGAAGAGAGCGAGCGAGCAUCCUGGCACCUGGGAAGUGGGGGUGGCUGCUUCUAAAGGAGACAGCUGCAGCAGGCAGCUUCUCUCCCUCCUGUCCUCCAGCCAUGAUGGCCCACGGUGGGGCUAAGCUUUGUGGGACAUGGCUGUAAUCUGCAGCAGGGGACAGAGAAGCAGUAUCGGUGGCUGUCGAGCCUGCUCUCCAGGUGCCAAGGCUCACCACAGCCAGCCAGGCCAACUGAGUGGAGAGAGCCAGAUCCAGACCCCAUUCAGAAGGGAACCUUACAGUCAGAAAAGGUGCAGUCAGUGGGUUCUGUCCUCAGAUACAGGGUGAAGGGGACAGGAAGCCUCCAGUGCUGUGGGGUCACACAGAUGGAGGCUGAGCUCAGGGGAGGCCAAGGCUCAGUGUAUGGUGGGGAGUGAAACAGGAAAAUAAAAAGCAAACAGCAGUCCUUUCCUAAAACA
RNAcentral lists this long non-coding RNA (1333 nucleotides) under Mus spicilegus (steppe mouse). RNAcentral's name for it is "lncRNA (ENSMSIG00000029422.1)". The record is from RNAcentral. Lineage: Eukaryota; Metazoa; Chordata; Mammalia; Rodentia; Muridae.